AAUCAACGCUGGCGGCGUGCCUCAGACAUGCAAGUCGAACGAUUAAAGCUCUCUUCGGAGAGUGCAUAGAGUGGCGCACGGGUGAGUAACACGUAAGUAAUCUACCUUCGAGUGGGGAAUAACGUCCGGAAACGGACGCUAAUACCGCAUAAUGCAGCGGCAUCGCAAGAUGACAGUUGUUAAAGAAUUUAUUCGCUUGAAGAGGAGCUUGCGGCAGAUUAGCUAGUUGGUAAGGUAAUGGCUUACCAAGGCUACGAUCUGUAACCGGUCUAAGAGGACGGUCGGUCACACUGACACUGAAUAACGGGUCAGACUCCUACGGGAGGCAGCAGUCGGGAAUUUUGGGCAAUGGGCGAAAGCCUGACCCAGCAACGCCGCGUGAGGGAUGACGGCCUCGG
Molecule: ribosomal RNA, 398 nt
Filed under: uncultured bacterium
Lineage: Bacteria
Description: bacterial SSU rRNA
Rfam family: Bacterial small subunit ribosomal RNA
Source: RNAcentral